GCGGCCCGGGCAGGGGCGCGCAGCCAGGAGGGAGGGAAAGGCAGGCUUCUGAAACGAGGAGCCAGAUGCGUGUUGGCGAGGCUCGCUAUCUGUGGCAGGUUCUGGCAGUGGCAAAAAACCCCAUACCUGCUUGUCUCCGUGGCCUUGCGACUGGUUUUAUCGGAGGGGACCGUUUUCACUGGGUGUAGCAGAUGAUAGGUAAACCGUGCUUCAUUUGCUUCGUGAGAUUCCUGCUUGUCCCUCUGUGUAAAGUCGCUGGAAUUCCCUGCAGUUUUGGUGUGGUUAACCUUGCCUUCCCCACAGGUGGUUGAAAAAGAGCGGUAGAAAUCCCAAGAGUUGUUUGAAACAUUUGAUAUUCAGGAUCAACAAAAAGAUGGGAAUUGCUGGAAAACUGUCUCUCUUGUCAAAAUAUUUUGCAGUGCAGGAUGGAGAUACUUCUUUUACCUGCGUCGUCUGCAGAUAAACAAACUGUAAUGAAUGCAGUUGUCAGCUAAGCACAAGUUCUGUUGAGAGUUUGCGAGCUGGGAGAAAGGUCGAGCUGGAUCCAGCUUAAGGUGUCAACAAAGGUGGCCCCUGAGCUGAGGCUUCACAAAGGAAAAUUUGGUCUGGAACUUGUUUUCAUGGCACAGGUGAAGACCUUUGGAAAAGAACUUUUAUCGUGGAAACAAAGUGUUUAAAAAGUCCUUAGUGGAGCAGCAAAAGCGGCCUGAGCCCUGCUUAUGACGGUGGGAAACUGCUCUGUAGGAUCCCUGGUCAGGCUCCCGUCAGAAGAUCAAAAUAUGCUCCGUUCUUAUCUGUAUGUUCUGGUUUUUAAAGCUCAAGUUCAAAGAAGUUAAUACUGUACCGCCGUUUCAGCAGGAGACCAGCAACCGUUUGGGGAUUUCCAGAUCGUUUCAAGACGAGGACUGGAAUGAGCUGUGCUGGGGGAAGGCGGAGCAGAAGGAGCAGGGUCUGUAUCCUUGGUAUCGCCAUGACCGAAACUGGACCAUGUCACCUUCAGAGGCAGCGGGCUCGUGAGCAAGUGGAGAGGUAGAAGAGUGAACAUGAAAUGUGUUUCUAGACAACAGCCUGUCUUUCGAACAACAGCCAUCAAGUGCCACAAUGUUUUUAUCCUUCCCAUUUAUUCUUGCUUCAAGAAAUAUGGUUUACAGUUUUUUUUUUUUCUGCGGGGAGACUGUGGAUAACCCAGAGAGGGGAGCUGUCAGCUUUGGAAGCCCUUGCUUCAAAAGGCAACGAUUUGAAGUCUCAGCCGACAUUACUUCUCCCCAGGUGAUGAAAGAUGCCGUUGAAGUUGGACAGACUGCUGUGGCUUCUUCACAAAGGUCACAGGAAGAGUGGAGACCUUUUUACUGGAGCAUACUAAUGGGCUCCUUCCCUGAAAGGUGAUACGUGGUGUCUGUAAAGAAAAACCCUCCAGGGCACUCAGUGUGAAGCCUGUUUUUCUGACAUUUUUAAAUGAACUCAGUCCAUAUGAUAGCUGUGCCUUUGGGUUCCCAGCUGACAGCAUUUAGCCCGUUGGCAUCUUUUGUGGGCUGCGAGUGCCGUUUCCGUGGAUGGAAGGCCUUUCUGGCGAGCCCGCGGGCAAGAGGAUGCGACGUCAAGUCACAGCUGAUGGGCCUUCUGCUCCUCCACGAAUUCCUAUUCGGGGGAGGCUUGGAGGAGAUUUUAAAGAAGACAGCUGAGUACAAAUCAAUAUUUUUCUUGACAGCCCUGGUUCUCUUCCUCUCUUUCCAAUUUACAUCUGUCCUCCAGAGAUGACAAAUCGCCGUGUAGGAACCAGAGAGGCUUUCCAUCUUCUGGAUUGCAGCGUGGGUUUGGGAUGUUUUUUUUUUUUUGUAAUUCCACAGGCAAAACGGGUUAAUUGAUACACUUUUCCUUCUGUAAACCUUUUGAGAGCCCUUAGAUUUUCACAUUCUCCCACUGUUUGAAUAGGAGUGUAGCUGUAAUUUCCCCCCCCUGUUGUCAGGUUAAAUUUUUAGUCAUUAUGAUUGUUCAUCUGAAUUAUGAAAUUAGAAAACUUGAUGCUAUUGAGAGCACUGCAUGAGAGUCACUGUAAAACCUCACUUGUUGGAGAACCGAUGUGAGGAAAGCUUUUUGUCGUCAAAGGUCAAAUUUAUUUUCUUUCAUAGUUUCAGCCUUGCUCCAAACAUGAUUUCUUGUGUGGAUGCUAUUCUGUAAUUAAAGUUUUAGCUGGAAAAGUUACAGAAUCUUAUUUAUUACAUACAUGUUGAGAUAUUGUGAAGCCUCACGAAAGACAGGAGAAAGCCAGAAGUUUAUUUGCAUUUUUUCAGCAAAAAAUCACCCACCCUUUUUAGCAAAUAAGUGUUUAUGUAACAUUUUAAUUUGAUUUUUAUAACAGUUAGUUUUGUCUGCAGCUCUUGUUUCCUAGCUUUUGGUUCCUGAUCAACCAUGAAGGCUUUAACUAUGAAAUUUUUAUUAUUUUACGUUCUCUGUCUCUCAAAAACAUAGAAUUAGGGAACAAUUUGAAGUAUUUUAGGUUAAACAGUUACUGCAACACAGCCUAACUAUUAAGCUUCAGGGUUCAGUAUCGUCUUUUGACAUUUUUCCCUUUGUGUGUCUUUUUAAUUUUGGAGACUUACUGAAGUGCAAUUUUUAAAUGAUCUAGAUAGUAACAGAGCCAUUGUACAAACGCACGCUGGUAUUUCAUCAGUCCUCUUCUGCUGUGCAAGUUAUUUAAUGGCUGGGGUGGAAACUUGCAUAGCUCCUUUAUCUAGCAGUAGAAGAUCAGAUCUCAUUUUUAUAUCACCUUUCAUAUGUUUUUUCCAAAGCUGCUCUUUUGUGUUGCUCAGGAGGGACCAGUAGGAUUUUCUGUGCUCAUGCAGUGUGUCGUACAGGCAAAUAGCGACUAGCUUUAUUUCUAACUUGCUCUAACGGUGUUGGGAUGAACUGAUGAUGUAAGGUGGAAGUCAAUCCCCCCAAAAUAAACCUCUGAACUUUUGUGAACGCUUGAACCCUUUCAAAUACAUGCCUGGGGGAUCACGAGGGCAACGUGGCACAGGGAAAGGAGAUGUCUUAUUCUCUAGGUCAGUAAUUGGAAGUGGUUAGACUGCACUGAGUCACUAGAUCAGGUGCUUUAAUAUAAUAUCUUUAUUAAGGUGCUACACGGGAAAAUAAUUACUUUUCUCUUUGUUUUUAGAGGUUCUGAUUCUCUGAAGCAAAAGCCAGCUUUGGAAGGGAAUCUGUGUUUCAGAAAAAAUCUGUACAAGUUUCAGAGGACUCACUGCAAAAAAAAAAAAAGAAACCUAGCUGUAAAAAGAGAGACCACUCUCUUCUGUUCUUUCACAAUAGAACUGUGCAGCUCUCCUUUACCAGAACUGCUUAUGACAUGGCAACUUCCAUUCAAAGCAGAAGAUUAUAAAGUACAGAGAACAGCAAAUUCAAGCCUAUGUAUCAAAUUGAGAUCACGUUGUUUGUGUUUGUGCUGUGUGACUGAUUAUGUUUCUAAAAAUUUUUCUUUCUUUUAUCGUUGCAGCAUAAUUUCAGGAAUAUGAGACAUACAAAGAUGAUGGUGCAUCAUCCAUCCCCAUCAGCUGAGAUUCCGGCUGCAGACACAGUGGGUGCUCCAGUCCCUGCAUCUCAAACGACCUCCCUCUAGGGCAGGAGCAGCUAAAGAGGAGGAAACCCUGAAGAGCCUUGUGGAUAUUCUGCAGCAAGUCGUGCGCCCACGCGAGGGCACACCAGCUCAGCAUUCAGCCACUGCACCCACUCUUGGUGAAACCACUGGUGGUCUUUGGUUAAAAGUAUAUGGGAAACACGCUAAAAAGCAAAAAAAAAAAGCCAAAAAAAACACCACAACGGCAAGAAAACCUACCCCAUCCACGGCACUCCAAACUGACACAGAUAUUUCUGUAGUUUUAUGUGCUUAUGAGUCUGCUCAGCCAACAGCAGCACUGAAGGAGCCGGUCUUAAUGCUGCAAACUGCUGCUACAAAAAAAGAAAAAUAAGGCUCAAGAUCAGUUAAUAAAGUGGAUUUAGUAAAAUCUUCUAAGAACGUUUUUGUUUUUUUUUAAAAAAAAAAAAAAAAGAGUGUUAAAUACCGCAGUUAAGUUUGAAAACCCAGAACCUACCAACAAAAUGUUGAAAAAGGUUGCAGGAGUCUGAGAAGGUGGAACAUCAAGCUCCAGGCAAAAUCCUUCUGGGAAUGGUUGAAACGUUACAGAUAGCAGUAGAGAGUGCAGCUGAGAGUGUUAACCGAGCCACAUCUCAGUGGGCACGCUGACUCGUGGGAAUCCAGACAGCAAAAGCUCAAGCACUAGAAAAAGAGUAGAAAAUUUGUAAGAACCACCAUAUAAUUUUUUCCUGACGCUUCCUCUGCUCCUCCGUCUCCAUCUCUGUGUCUGCUGUAGGAGAGAGCGCGACUGAAACCAGGAAAGUAAGAUCUUUGGUUAACCUGUUUUAUGAUUUUAGUCUUCAAUUAAAUACAUACAUUGGUAUGUCAAGAAAAAUAUUCCAGCUUUUAAGAAUGGUGAAAACACUCUAAAAAAAAAAAAAAAAAAGUUAAAUACUAAUAUCUGGAAUAUUGUCACUGUCUUUCCUUGAGGUUUAAAAGAUCAGUUUUGUCAGUCACCCAAACCAGAUAUAACUGUAUUUAUCCCGGUAAUUAAAAGUUCAAAUUUUAAAAUAUUUUUCCUCAUGUCUGUUAUGUGACGAUGAUAAAUUGGACCGUAGUGAAGUAAAGAGUAAUGCUGAGUGGGCUUUUCCAAAUGUUAUUGUGUUUCAUAUGUGCAUGUAAGAGAUGACAACUCAAGUCGCUCAUGUUUUUUGAACACACUCGAAGUUCUACACUAAUGGCACAACAAUAAAUUGGCUCCAACAGUU
Molecule: long non-coding RNA, 4839 nt
Organism: Tyto alba (common barn owl)
Lineage: Eukaryota; Metazoa; Chordata; Aves; Strigiformes; Tytonidae
Exons: 11
Source: RefSeq, a predicted model, not a curated record